Molecule: ribosomal RNA, 258 nt
Filed under: uncultured bacterium
Lineage: Bacteria
Description: partial 16S ribosomal RNA
Rfam family: Bacterial small subunit ribosomal RNA
Source: RNAcentral
CGUUGCUUCUUUGCUGGCGACCGGCGCACGGGUGAGUAACACGUAUCCAACCUGCCCUUUACUCGGGGAUAGCCUUUCGAAAGAAAGAUUAAUACCCGAUAGCAUAAUGAUUCCGCAUGGUUUCAUUAUUAAAGGAUUCCGGUAAAGGAUGGGGAUGCGUUCCAUUAGGUUGUUGGUGGGGUAACGGCCCACCAAGCCUUCGAUGGAUAGGGGUUCUGAGAGGAAGGUCCCCCACAUUGGAACUGAGACACGGUCCAA